CCUACGGGGGGCAGCAGUAGGGAAUCUUUCACAAUGGGCGAAAGCCUGAUGGAGCAACGCCGCGUGCAGGAUGAAGGCCUUCGGGUUGUAAACUGCUUUUAUAAGCGAGAAAUAUGAUGGUAACUUAUGAAUAAGGAUCGGCUAACUACGUGCCAGCAGCCGCGGUCAUACGUAGGAUCCGAGCAUUAUCCGGAGUGACUGGGUGUAAAGAGUUGCGUAGGUGGCAUAAUAAGUAGCUAGUGAAAUCUGGUGGCUCAACCAUUCAGACUAUUAGCUAAACUGUUAAGCUCGAGACCGUUAGGGGUAACUGGAAUGUCUGGUGUAGGAGUGAAAUCCGUAGAUAUUAGAAGGAACACCAGUAGCGUAGGCAGGUUGCUGGGACGGUUCUGACACUAAGGCACGAAAGCGUAGGGAGCAAACGGGAUUAGAUACCCUUGUAGUC
This 442-nucleotide ribosomal RNA is filed under the name uncultured bacterium. RNAcentral's name for it is "partial 16S ribosomal RNA". It matches the Rfam family "Bacterial small subunit ribosomal RNA", at positions 338 to 795 of the family's 1533-position model. The record is from RNAcentral.